Bos taurus (domestic cattle) is the source of this 485-nucleotide long non-coding RNA. The record is from Ensembl. Lineage: Eukaryota; Metazoa; Chordata; Mammalia; Artiodactyla; Bovidae.
GCAAGAGGCAGCCCCAACCUGCACAUCUUUUGCCCAGACCGAUGUGUUCUGGUCCUGGAAGAAGAUUCCAGUGGGUAGGGAGACUGGAGGAAGAACCCUGAGCUUGGAUAGUGGACCCGGAGACCAGAGCAGAUCUCAUUUCGCUGAGGAUUGGUGAAAACGUCGCUGGUCAACCUGGAAAAGACAGGCUGGGAUUCAGAUUGGAGCCUCUGGCCUGGAAGAACCCGUCCUUCAAAUUCUUGCUCCCAUCUUUUUCCGUCUCUCCAAUUCCUCUGUCAAUUUCUCCCUGUCUCUCCUUUUACCUACACACACACAUAUGCACAUGCACACAUGCCUGUGUGUGCAUGUGCACACACACACACACACACACACACACAUUUCAAAGCUCCAAAGAGAGAUGUGCUAUGUAUCAGAACCAGGUCUUGGGCAGAAAAGAAAGGCAAUCUCUUCUAUUCCAAAUCCGGAGUCCCUAACUCUGAAAGGAG